CGGGAUGCAUCGAGGUCCGUAGCCUCUGUAAACGGGGCUUUUUAAAGCUAAAUCUGCCACUGAGCUGAACAAUCCGAGUCUUCGCUCAUCUUUUUACUCACCUUUAUGGCUCUACAAUGUACUGGUGAACAUCGGAUCAACAGGUAGCAGACAGAAGCCAAAGACUUUCAGUUUUCUCCCUCAGAGCAGCUCCUGUUGCUCCCCAGCCUGUUUUUAACAUCACAUCAUUUCAUCGUUUUGCUCAGAUGCAUACAAGCGACCCGAAAACAGGACCCCAACAACGCCACGUUUCAGAGCUUUACCAGAAGCCGUAAUUAUGACUCGCUGCAUGGAGCGGGCCGUCCGAAGGCAGAGGUCGCUCUGGGACGGGGGUUAAAUUUGUUCUUCCAUGUGACGAAAAGGUUCAGUACAACCAGCUGACCCUCAGUUUCCCUGGCUACCACCGUUUGCAUACCUAACAUGGCUCUAGUCAUGUAAGCACAAUCAGCAGGACCACCGCACUCCACAGGACGAGGUAUCCACAGCACUACCAAUAUGGAUGAGUGUGUCUGCUCUUUAAAUAUGGUUUAGUUGUUUGGCUAUGAACCCAAAACCUAGUUUGAGCUCAAGUUUAAGAGUUGUUGGACCAAACUUUUAAAACAAAUG
This is a long non-coding RNA of Poecilia latipinna (sailfin molly), 645 nucleotides long. RefSeq lists it as uncharacterized. NCBI's taxonomy places the organism in Eukaryota, Metazoa, Chordata, Actinopteri, Cyprinodontiformes, Poeciliidae. The transcript has 3 exons. The record is from RefSeq and is a predicted model, not a curated record.